CCUACGGGUGGCAGCAGUGGGGAAUAUUGGACAAUGGGGGGAACCCUGAUCCAGCCAUGCCGCGUGUGUGAAGAAGGCCCUCGGGUUGUAAAGCACUUUCAGUGAGGAAGAACGCCUGGUGGUUAAUACCCAUCAGGAAAGACAUCACUCACAGAAGAAGCACCGGCUAACUCCGUGCCAGCAGCCGCGGUAAUACGGAGGGUGCGAGCGUUAAUCGGAAUUACUGGGCGUAAAGCGCGCGUAGGUGGCUUGAUAAGCCGGUUGUGAAAGCCCCUGGCUCAACCUGGGAACGGCAUCCGGAACUGUCAAGCUAGAGUGCAGGAGAGGAAGGUAGAAUUCCCGGUGUAGCGGUGAAAUGCGUAGAGAUCGGGAGGAAUACCAGUGGCGAAGGCGGCCUUCUGGACUGACACUGACACUGAGGUGCGAAAGCGUGGGUAGCAAACAGGAUUAGAUACCCUGGUAGUC
Molecule: ribosomal RNA, 465 nt
Filed under: Vreelandella stevensii
Lineage: Bacteria; Pseudomonadati; Pseudomonadota; Gammaproteobacteria; Oceanospirillales; Halomonadaceae
Description: partial 16S ribosomal RNA
Rfam family: Bacterial small subunit ribosomal RNA
Source: RNAcentral